ACGUGUCCAAGCGCAUCAUCCCCUACCUCCAGUCGCUGGGAAAACUCGCCGGCGCCGGAAACUGGGCAGACCUGUAAUCGGUCUUUUCUCGCUCGAUUCUCAACCAUUUUUCAUGAAAUUUUCACCAAAACUUCACAAAUUACGAGAGGAAGAAGGCUAUACCUUUAAAAACCUCCAAAUCCUUCGAAAUCACGUCGGGAAAUUUCACCAAAACCGGCCACCUUCGAACUAGGGUUUCCCGACGUCCAAAACUUCCAAACAAACGUCCCCGAGCUUCGUGGGAACUUCCUAAAGCUCACUAUGAGCUUGGAUUGUCCUAAAAACGAACCAAUACAAAGUUCAUGAAUAGUGCCAAACUCGGUGCUUGUGAUUUCGACGUGAAAAUGAGGAAAACCUUACUUGAAAAUGGGACCUUUGAGUUCGUAGGGCACUCAUGAACGCGAUGGUGCUAAUCUCCACUUCGAUCCAUGAAAUUUCAAGGGUUUUUGGGUUGGUCCGUACAGUUUCG
This 508-nucleotide long non-coding RNA is filed under the name Malus domestica (apple). RNAcentral's name for it is "long non-coding RNA (MDOM_LNC005319)". The record is from RNAcentral. Lineage: Eukaryota; Viridiplantae; Streptophyta; Magnoliopsida; Rosales; Rosaceae.